RNAcentral lists this long non-coding RNA (3627 nucleotides) under Pan troglodytes (chimpanzee). RNAcentral's name for it is "lincRNA". The stretch from base 1769 to 1850 matches the Rfam family "mir-194 microRNA precursor family". The record is from RNAcentral. Lineage: Eukaryota; Metazoa; Chordata; Mammalia; Primates; Hominidae.
ACUUCCUCCUUGUGCCCCGAAGGCCAGCCCGGCACUCAGGCCAGGGCACUUGGACACCACGCUGCAGGAGGCUGGUCUUGCCCAGGCCUCUGUGGGAAGGGCCACCAGGCUGAGUGGAGGGCCAGCCACCAGCUACGGUGUCUUCCUUCGCAGGUCUGUCCCCCCAGGCAGAAGGAUUCCAGCCCAGGGAUCCCCCAUCCCACCCUGACUGCAUCCUGAGAAGGGGGGACGCCACUUCGGGAAGGUUGUUGGGGCAGCACAGGCCCUGGGGCCCUGCUCUGUGACCUUGGGCGGCCCCCUCUGUCUCUCUAGGCCUGUAUCCACCACUGGCAAAGGGGGCAGGGCCCAAGUCUCUAAAAGCUCCCCUUUCUCUCCAGAAGCUUUGGAGUCUCCCAAAAUGCCUGCUGGGUCUCUGCAGGACUGGCACCUGUCACCGGAACCUGUCUGGGAGGGACGAGAACACGCUUUGCAAGAGGAAGCUCUGCCUCACAGAGCCCUGGGCUCACUCAGGGACCCUGGCCAGCAGCUGCUUCCUCUCCCCACAGCGGAGAGAGACCCAAGGGUCCCAGGGCGGAUGCUUCCCACCAGGCCAGCCCAGCGUGCAGGGUGGCCUCGUAAGUCCUGAUUGACAUAUGGACAGUGGUUCAGAGAGGUUAUGCUACUUGCUGAAGGUCACCCAGCUCCGAGGCCCCUGCUGUCUUCCAGGCCACUGAGGUCCUAAGCGUCCUUCCAGGCGAGCCACUGCUCACAGCCUGUUCCUCAUGUUCUGCGGCAGGUUUGUGUAUCUACAUCUUUUCCAGUUCCCUGUCGUCCCCCUUCCUACACCUCGUCAUCCACUGUCCCUGUUUGUUUUCUCUGUUCCUUUCUAGUUCUCUACCUGUUCCUCUUAUUUUUAUUUGAGACAGGGUCUUUCUUUGUCACUGAGGCUGGAGUGCAGUGGCACAAUCCCAGCUCACUGGAGCCUCGACCUCCCAGGCUCAAGUGAUCCCCCGCCUCAGCUUCUUGAGUAGCUGGGACCACAGGCAUGCAUCACCACACCAGGCUAAUUUUUUAUUUUUUGUAGAGAUGGGGUCUCACUGUGUUGCCCAGGCUGGUCUUGCACUCCUGGGCUCAAGAGAUCCUCCCACCUUGGUCUCCCAAAGUGCUGGGAUGCCAGGUGUGCACCGCCAUCCUCGGCCUUACUCUUCACUUCCUCUCUCAGCCCCUCUGCCUCACUAUCCCUCUUUCUGUGCCCUCCCCCACACAGCCCCCCACACUUCUUCUUAGUCUCAUCUUCAGCUUCCCAUACGAGGCCAUCCUUAUGAAAUCAGGCACUGGGAGGUCCCUGGGGACUGACAAGUGCCAGCUGUCCCUUGCUGUCCCUCUGCCCCAUGGCUGCAGCAGGGAGGGUGGGCAAAGGGCAGAGGUGACAGUGGCCAAACCUGAAACUGAGGCCCAGCUCUGGUUGGGAAAGAAACAAGGAAACAAAAUAACUUGGGGACAGAGGGCGUGGGGUCAUCAGAGCGGGCAAAGGCUGCCCAGGAGUUGUAAAUCGGAGCCGCUCCCGGCUUUAUGAGGCCGAUUUGGGGUUGAGCCUGGACUUUGCCCAGGAAGGAGUGCUGGCAGCACACGGGGCGCCAGGUGUGGGCCCCAGAUGAUAAGAAGCCUUGGUGAAAAGACCAUGCAUGGACCUGGGGCCACGAAGACUGGGGAGCCCAGGUGAGCGGGCAUGGGACACUCUCCAGAGCCCUGCCGAAGGCGGACGCCAGGCAGGGCCCCGGUCUCCAAUUGGUUCCCGCCCCCUGUAACAGCAACUCCAUGUGGAAGUGCCCACUGGUUCCAGUGGGGCUGCUGUUAUCUGGGGCGAGGGCCUGUACCCACGAAGAAGGAGAGGCAGGUGCUGGCCAGCAGACCAGCCAGGACUACCGUGGCGACGCUCCCAGGCCAGAUGGUGGCGGGUAGUGGAGGGCUGUCGGUGGGCUGCCGAGACCGAGUGCACAGGGCUCUGACCUAUGAAUUGACAGCCAGUGCUCUCGUCUCCCCUCUGGCUGCCAAUUCCAUAGGUCACAGGUAUGUUCGCCUCAAUGCCAGCCACCAGGACCUGCAGGGAUAGGGGAGGGCCGGGGGUGUCCAGCAGUCAGCAGAGAUCCUGCGACCCCAGUGCAGCACUCAUGGUCCCACCUCCCUCUGUCUCAUUCCCUGUGAUGAGCCUGAACAGCUUCAGUCCUGCCCCUGCCCUGCCUGCCCUGUGGCACCUCUAUGCUUUGCCCAUGCUGUUCCUUUGGGCUGCAAUACUCUUCCUAGCUUAUUUGCCAGGCUCACUCUUCCUAACCCUUUCAAGCUCUGUCCAAGCAUUUGCUGCCUCCAGAAGGCCUUCUUGAAGCUUCUAAGUCCCCACCUGGGCACCCCCACACAGUGCUGCCGCAGAGCACUGCCCUCUCGGAGCCCUGGUGCUGGUUUCUGCUUAUGUCUCGCUCCUCUCCCCAUCUGUGAGCUCAGUUCCCAGCCCAGGCGCGUGCCCAAUAAAUGUUUGCUGAACCAAUCCUGAGCCUCUGUCUUGCACCCUGAGGAAGCACCCACCGACAUGCAGUGUGGCCAAGGGGGGCUGAGUGCUCUAGGCCCAGUGUUUGUGCUGGAGCCCCCCCACCCAGGAUGGGGCCCUGAGCCAGCCUCCCCAUCUGCUUCCUACUCUCCCCUCCUUUGCCAGUCUCAUCAGCCCUGUGGUUGGUGGAGCAGCUUCUCCAGCCCCUAGGAUUCCUAAGAGGGCCCAGGACCCUGGCUGCUGGUAGAGGAAGAGCAGCCAACCCAGGACAGGACAGCUGACCCCACCCCUGUCCCGCCUCCCACAACAGCCUCAUUUCCACCUAUUUCUUUGUGGUGUUUGUUUGUUUGUUUUGAGACAGAGUCUUACUCUGUUGCCCAGGCUGGAAUGCAACAGGCUUCCUCCCAGGAGGAAGCCUCCCCUCCUGGCAUGAUCUCAGCUCACUGCAACCUCUGCCUCCUGGGUUCAAGCGAUUCUCCUGCCUCAGCCUCCCAAAUAGCUGAGAUUACAGGCAUGCACCACCAUGCCCAGCUAAUUUUUGUGUUUUUAGUAGAGACUGGGUUUCACCAUGUUGGCCAGGCUGGUCUUGAACUCCUGACCUCAGAUAAUCUGCCCACCUCGGCCUCCCAGAGUGCUGGGAUUAUAGGUGUGAGCCACUGUGCCCAGCCCCACCUGUUUCUUAUACAACGGGGUUCUGAGGAAAUUUUCCUUUUUUUUUUUUUGAGACAGGGUCUUGCUCGCUUUGUCACCCAGGCUGGAGUGCAGUGGUACAAUCACAGCUCGCUGCAGCCUCCACCUGCCAGGGCUCACACAGCCCUCCCAUCUCAGCCUCCCAAAUAGCUGUGACUACAGGCACGUGCCACCAUGCCUGGUUAAUUUUUGUAUUUUUCAUAGAGAUGGGGUUUCACCAUGUUGCCCAGGCUGGUCUCAAAUUCCUGGCCUCAAGCAGUCCUGCCUCAGCCCCCCAAACUGCUGGGAUUACAGGCAUGAGCCACUGUGCCCUGUCAGAAUUUUUCAUUUGAAUAAAAAGGUUUCUGGUACUACAAAAUAAAAUUUGUAAAAUGGGAAAUAGAGACCUAGGAAUAAAUGUCAAAUUGCUUAAUAAC